UAAGAGGGUGGCCUUACUACACUGAAACUCACCCUUAAACAUGUGCUUUUUGAGAGUGUGUGUGUGUGUGUGUGUGUGUGUGUGUGUGUGUGUGUGUGUGUGUGUGUGUGUGUGUGUGUGUGUGUUUACGUAAGCGGGUGUGUCAGCCCCACAGAGGAAAACUGGUUUCUACAUCUGACCUCCCUCUAACUUUGUGUUGCAAAACAAACACACACACUGUGUUUACUGCACAUGACAAUGAUACUAGCUGACUUGUGAACAAGGAAGUAAGCGUCAGUGUACUGCUUGUGCUGUACCCUGAUAAACUGCCUGCAUGCUUGGAAGCACAGGGCACAUGUCAACAUCAACAUAACAGCUAACAUACCUCCCCAGAUAGAACAGAUGAGUUUGAAGGUGGAUGUGAUAGUGUUUUUAUGUAAACAGAAUUAUUAAGGCCUAGGUGCCAGUGGAAAAGGCCUAGGUGCCAGGGGAAAGGACUAGGUGCCAGGGAGAAAAAGCCUAGGUGCCAGGGAGAAAAAGCCUAGGUGCCAGGGGGAAAAGGCCUAGGUGCCAGGGGGAAAAAAGGCCUAGGUGCCAGGGGGAAAAAAGGCCUAGGUGCCAGGGGG
This 605-nucleotide long non-coding RNA is filed under the name Salmo salar (Atlantic salmon). RNAcentral's name for it is "lncRNA (ENSSSAG00000112235.1)". Lineage: Eukaryota; Metazoa; Chordata; Actinopteri; Salmoniformes; Salmonidae. The record is from RNAcentral.